UAAUUUCUUGAUUUUGCAAUACCACCUAGGGAUAGGGGUAGGACGAUCAAUUGCGCUAACUUCUGUUUAUAAUGUGAUAUUAUUUACUAGGGGAGGCUAGGGAUAGCAAGCCAGUAGUUAAUAUUAGGCCCUUUUCGCCGAGGGAUCGGGUUAAGGGGAGGCUAAGAAAGUCGCAUAACAAUUAAUUAAUCAAACUAAUAUUCAAGAGGAGUAGGUAAGAGAGAGCGGAUUAGAUGAAAUUGUGAACCCCCAACAACAUCCAUUCAUCCAUUGUUUUCUUUUGUCAAUUGAAUCAAGUUUAUUUUGAAUGUUAAUAUUUUUGUUCUCAAAACCAAUUUAUUAGUUUUUAUUUUUCAAGUCUUAUUAUUUUAAUUCACGCGAAUGAGAAAACCUUUCGAGUCUCUUGGGAAAACGAUACUUGGUCUUACCAUUUAUAUUACUUGUACAAUUUGGUACAGUUGCCAAUUUGUCAACAAGAUGUUAGCAUGAGUGAAUGCCAUCUAAUAUUUAGCCAAGGGUGUCAAGUCAGCUUUCUUGAUGUGAAUAGGCACACCAUUUGAAUUCCUGUGGAAAUGCCCUCCAGGUACACAGAGUACACUCUUAAUGUCUUCAUAAUAUGAGCACUCCUGCACAUUCAAUGCAUACUGACACUGUUCACCAACCCACUCAGUCUCCAAGAAGCUGUUAAUAGUUUCAGGGUCAAAUCUAAUGAUCUUCCCCUGAACAUAAAUUGUAUAUCUG
Molecule: long non-coding RNA, 741 nt
Filed under: Vigna radiata
Lineage: Eukaryota; Viridiplantae; Streptophyta; Magnoliopsida; Fabales; Fabaceae
Description: long non-coding RNA (VRAD_LNC006583)
Source: RNAcentral